This 445-nucleotide ribosomal RNA is filed under the name uncultured bacterium. Its description in RNAcentral is "bacterial SSU rRNA". It matches the Rfam family "Bacterial small subunit ribosomal RNA", at positions 354 to 796 of the family's 1533-position model. The record is from RNAcentral.
GUGAGGAAUAUUGGUCAAUGGGCGAGAGCCUGAACCAGCCAAGUAGCGUGCAGGAUGACGGCCCUAUGGGUUGUAAACUGCUUUUAUGUGGGGAUAAAGUGAGCUACGUGUAGUUUAUUGCAGGUACCACAUGAAUAAGGACCGGCUAAUUCCGUGCCAGCAGCCGCGGUAAUACGGAAGGUCCAGGCGUUAUCCGGAUUUAUUGGGUUUAAAGGGAGCGUAGGCCGUGGAUUAAGCGUGUUGUGAAAUGUAGACGCUCAACGUCUGAAUUGCAGCGCGAACUGGUUCACUUGAGUAUGCACAACGUAGGCGGAAUUCGUCGUGUAGCGGUGAAAUGCUUAGAUAUGACGAAGAACUCCGAUUGCGAAGGCAGCUUACGGGAGCACAACUGACGCUGAAGCUCGAAGGUGCGGGUAUCAAACAGGAUUAGAAACCCUAGUAGUCC